UUGAAUGUAGUGCAAGGACUGUGGCUCCCUGGGCUCAGUCUCCCUCAUACCCGGCAAGGGGAAAGCCCUCACCCCUGAUUCCAAGAACAUGGUGAUGUUAAUCCAUUGCGAUGGACACAUCCCUAUCGCUUUCAGCCCGGCACCCUACUGGAUUGCCAACAAGGUCAAUGGGGAUCAGCAUGAGUUGCACUUCUCCAAGGAUGGGUUCGAGGGCUACGGCGACAAUGAUGAGCUGAUUCUCACCAGUGCCAAGUUCACCGUCGAGAGGCUGAAGAAGGCCGAGGUGCCUUAAGUACAUCUGAGAAAAUGUCAUUCAAAUGGCAUAUCAAGGCUAAAGACAGGGCAAAUCAUAGACUAUCACAAGUGGUCAUUGAGAAUAAUUUUUUGUGCUUCCACUGAGCAUUUGUGAGAGGCUGGAAAGCGAUGUUAUCUGGAUGAUGAAUGAUAUCUGUCCUUUCUUUUGGUGUUUGUCAUAUGCUUUCAGAUCUAAAAACUUCGUCUAAAAAAAUAACUUCUAAAGAUGAAUCUAAACAAAUGCUUGUCCAGAUUCAUCUCUAAAAAUUAGUUUUUUUAA
This is a non-coding RNA of Oryza sativa Japonica Group (Japanese rice), 574 nucleotides long. Lineage: Eukaryota; Viridiplantae; Streptophyta; Magnoliopsida; Poales; Poaceae. The record is from RefSeq and is a predicted model, not a curated record.